Molecule: non-coding RNA, 167 nt
Filed under: Alistipes shahii
Lineage: Bacteria; Pseudomonadati; Bacteroidota; Bacteroidia; Bacteroidales; Rikenellaceae
Also listed under: 1 other name
Source: RNAcentral
GCGAUGAGGAAUGAAAAGGGAAUGCAGUGAGAAUCUGCGACAAUACCCGUUGCUGUGAGUUCCUGCCCCGGACAUGGGGCGCAAAAGGUUUUACAAUCUUUGCCACUGGCCGCAAGGCUGGGAAGGCGUAAAACCGGAACAAGUCAGAAGACCUGCCGAUGCCUUUA